Anguilla rostrata (American eel) is the source of this 3952-nucleotide long non-coding RNA. RefSeq lists it as uncharacterized. The record is from RefSeq and is a predicted model, not a curated record. The transcript has 2 exons. Lineage: Eukaryota; Metazoa; Chordata; Actinopteri; Anguilliformes; Anguillidae.
CAGCAGGACAGUAGUUGCGGUCGCGUCAGAGGCAGUUUAGACAAUUAAUAUGAUUUAUUUGGUAAUAACCCUGGGUAAUACAAAAGGAUCCCUCUUAGGUUCUCGGGUUUGUUGUUUCUCACGAUUCAUCAAUGAGCUCAUUGCAGUUUACUGAUAAGGAAUAACUUAGGCAGUGGGGGACAACCCAACUACUGACGUCACAACCCAUCUUGUUCCAAGAUGGCCGCAUCUUAGUGCGAAUCGCCAAAAUAACAAACUUUGUUUUUGUAGUAAAUACGGGUCAAUUGCAGGAUGAUUUUGCCUGUUUGCAAGCCAAAGUUAAACGAGCUAAAAUGUCUGCCUCGCUGCACCAGGCCAAACAGGAUCAGCUUGAGGCUAAAUGGGCAGAGUUUGAUGAUAGGAGAAGGAAUCCCAUGGAUCGCCAUACAUGCGUCGUCCUUCUGUCAGUUGGAACGCUGAACCCGAAAAGUUCAUUACUGAUGGAUGCCCGGAAGAGCUGACGAGACGAACUGAUGCUUUAUUUAAUUCUCCGUUACCUUCUGGGACAUGCAGGUGCAGACACCCUAUACUGUAACGGUAUUACACAGUGAGGCACUAUACGUUUAUCUCCUGUAAUGGGUAUUCAAGCUAUCCAUGUAGGUAGUCCGAUGCACACAGUAUUUACCCCUGGUUCGUGUUCUGUUAGACCGUAUACUUUGUGCUUCCAGAUACGCAACUUGAUGUGACAUAAUAGGUACGUAUUAUCUGCAAUUUGUUUAAAAUGUAUAGCUGACUCAUGGCUGGAUUGCUGGACCAUUUAAUGGGAGAUUGUUAUACUGCCAUAUACAGUUAUAUGCGGACUUAUAUGAUAGUUGCAUAACUCCUUUUAAACUAUACAUAGGGAGGGGUGAAAAGAAAGUUACAUUGUAACUAUUUUCUAUGCCAAAUUAUUUUCUUUUGAAUAAGAAGACCGUUGAUCUAAAAAAAAGCUGGAAAAAACAUUAUAAACAAACAAAAACUAUUUCUUGUUACUUCUAUUCUUCUCUCCGCAUGGCCUUCUGAUGCCGCGCGCUUUCAUUGGGCGUUUUUCCGCCAUUAAACCACAUUAAGCUCUAAUUUCGGCCUGUUCUGGGGCAAUUUACCCGUUCUUUAAUUUAUUACGUGCACUCAUGGAUGUGCAACUUUGUGUAUUCCUUUUGGUGGUCAUUAGGUCAUAUGACGUGGUGCCCCGAACACUUGUUUGAAUUUUCAGCGUCAGUUAUAGGCCAUUAAGUGGCAUUAAGCUUAAUCUGUUCCGUUCACUUUCAAUUGAGGGUCUUCUCUAAGUGUGUGGGCCUCCAUAUAGAUUUCAUUUUGACUUAAAAUCUUCACCACAUUAUCUCCUUGAAUACCCCUGCCGCCUGAAUAAAAGAUGAAUUUCUUUAUUUUGAUUUAAUGUCAUUGAGCCACAUUAAGCCCUUGUUUUUCCCUCAAUCUGACGUUUAUCUAUUUUUACAAAAAUGUCUUGCUUUUCUUGCCUCGUUAAGCUGUUUUCAAAUUCAGCCUUUUAGAACAGCCCGCAACUGGUGCAUGUGACAGACUAUAUGCCCUUGAGAAAACGCGGACACUUAACUUAAAUGUAAGAUUUUUUUUUCUUUCAAAAACUUGCGGCCCACUAUUAGUAUCUGUUUUAGCUUAAUCAAAUAAAAGCCAAUUUCGGGUUAUCCAGGCCUUAAUAUCUGGCCUCUAGUUAAGCAGGCUGGAGAAUCUCCCUGGGUUUACCUGAUAUAUAAUGUUGUGUUUCAUAUAGCAAUGAUUGUUAACACCAUGGGGCCUAUUUUCGUCGUAACGUGAGAAUACACGUGCCAGGGCGCAAGUUUAAUCUCCCGCAAACAGAAUAUUUGUCGCCUGUGCCAGACUUGCCAGUUUUGUGGUCUGCAGUGAACUGAAAUGUGUUGACAUGGGUUGGGUACUGCAGUAGAGGGUGUGUCAAUAGCAACAUUAAGCGCUGUGCAAGUUUGGUCUUUGAUAAUGCAUUUGCGUUUUUAAAACCAGCCCAAACCAGGUUUAAAUGCAAACGCUGCUGCAUUAUGCUAUCUUUGUGCCGUUAUGAAUGCACUGCACACUAUGAAUGCAUGAACACAUAACACAGAUGCAAGAAAUAUUUCAACCUAUUUGAUAUGCGAGCUGUGUUCAUUUAUGCAAUCCAAUGUUAGCUAUUUAUGCAUGCACAGAAAUUAGAUUAAUUAAUAUGUAAGCUACUUGAAUGAGACACAAAGGACGCGGGAGACUGACUCUAUGCCCGUCAAAUAGUGUGGGAUGCAUGUCUGUUAAAUUUGUGUGGGUGCACUGGUUUUUGUUUUGUUCAUUUUCGAACGGUCACUGCAGUCACAUGCAGUACAUAAUGGGAUGCUGCAGACCUCCUGGGUCAAAAAUAUGUAUUUGUUUUGGAUUCCAAUGCUUUUUUCUACGCUUUUCUACUGAUCUUGUCUGGUGUAUUGGAACCAUUGAAACCACUCUUGAAAAAAAGUUGCAAACCCUUGCCCUUCUGGUCAUAUUGGCAGGCUCAGUUACCCCAGCCGAGAUCAACAGAGCACAGGAAAGCAUUUGAAUCCAAAAAGAAUACUUGUUUUACCCAGGACUGGGAUUCCGUACGAGGGAGGGCAUGUACAGGCGGUGCAUUUGGUGUUGCUGUUAGGGGACAGCGACGUGCGUUGGCCCCAGAACACGCCGACAGUUUUCUUUUAUUUGUGCAUUCGGCAGGGGCUAAAGUCAAUGAUGGAGCAAACCUUUGGAAUGUUAAAAAAAAAAAACCACUUCUGUUGUACUGGUUGAGCGGUACAUUACAAUUAUACCUGAGAACGUCAGUGUGUGGUUCUUUGUGGUGUGCUGUACUCUGCACUACAUAGCAGUGGCAGUGUAAUGUGAUUAUUAAGGAGCUGGGUUUGUAACCUAGGUUCACUUCUCAGCUAGAACGAUGCCAUUGAGCAAGGCACUUAACCUGAAUUGCUGCAGUAUAUAUGUGGGGGCGACAUAGCUCAGGAGGUAAGACCGAUUGUCUGGCAGUCGGAGGGUUGCUGGUUCAAACCCCGCCCUGGGCGUGUCGAAGUGUUCCUGAGCAAGACACCUAACCCCUAACUGCUCUGGCGAAUGAGAGGCAUCAAUUGUAAAGUGCUUUGGAUAAAAGCGCUAUAUAAAUGCGGUCCAUUUAUAUAUCCUCCUGAGAAAUGGAUAUAAAAGAUGCAAAGGGUGUGUAUAAAUGGAUGCAGAAGCUGCAGGAAGGAGGAACGUGCUGGCUGCAGAGUUGUUUCUCUGUUGAGUGCACAAGUGCAUGUCUGAAAUUAAGUAAACUUAGAUGAAGAGGUGAUUUUUAUUUUUUUUAUUUUAAAUAAUGGUAUUAAACAAAACAAAAAUUACAUAAAAGAAAGGUAUAUAGUCUAUAUAAUAGAUAGUCUGCAGAGCCAACCUGUUGUCAGAUUUAUUAAACCAGGUUUGUACUGUAAUUAAAUAUCUAAUUCGUCAAUUAACAACUGAAAUAUCAUCAAUUCAAUAAAAUAAAUAUUAAUACAUGUGUUUUAAGUUGUUUAUUUUGAAAAAAGUACUUCACUGAAAAUAUUUGCAAAUAUAUAUGGCUAUAGUGUUACAUCCCACUACUGAAAAAAGAGUAAUGCUGGUCCUAACCUUUGCUCCUGAAGACAGCUGUAAUUUUGCAUUAGCCCUCACACUGAAACCCUAAUUCUAGCCCUUAGCCCUGUCCAGCCAAGAUUAGCAUUUCAGGACAGUCGGUAAUGUAUAUAUUUUUUAUUUUUAUCAUUGAUCAUCAGUGAUUUCAAUGCCCCAUCCACACAGAAAAAGGCUUUCCCUUUUAUUACUCCUCAAAAUCACUGAGGGGUCUGUUUGGUUGUUCCCGGGUUUGUUCCUCAUACAUUCCCCCCCUUCCAGGGAAAAAAAAGGAAAAAAAAAAAAAACGAACACUUGGAACAUAUAUGAAAAA